This 645-nucleotide ribosomal RNA is filed under the name Triticum aestivum (bread wheat). Its description in RNAcentral is "partial small subunit ribosomal RNA". Lineage: Eukaryota; Viridiplantae; Streptophyta; Magnoliopsida; Poales; Poaceae. The record is from RNAcentral.
CUGCCUACCGGCAAGGCGCCGGGCCCGGAUGGGUUCUCAGUGGAGUUCCUUCGCCACUACUGGGGCACAAUUAAGGAGGACUUCAUGGGGGCAUUCGAUAAGCUUUACCAUAUGAAUGGUUGAGAAUUCCACUGCCUAAAUGAAGCCUUCAUCACCCUCGUCGCGAAGCGUCCAUAUGCCUCCUCCCUGUUCGACUACAUGCCGAUUAGCCUGAUUCACCCGGUUUCCAAGCUUGUAGCUAAGGUCCUAGCUCUGAGGCUCGCCCCGCGGCUCGGGGAGUUUGUUUCCGCUUGCUAGAGCGCACUCAUUGUCGGGCGCUGCAUCCACAGCAAUAUUAUGCUAGUUCAGCACACAACACGGCACCUACACCAGGCCGGUGCCCACCGGGUCCUCCUCAAGCUUGAUAUCUCCCAGACGUUCGAUUCCGUAUCCUGGCCCUUCUUGCUGGAGGUCCUUCGUCACCUUGGCUUCGGUCGGAGAUGGUCUGAGUGGGUGUCCAUUAUGUUAUCUUCAGGUAGCACACGCAUCCUCGUGAAUGGCUCGCCGGGGCCGCCGAUUCAUCACGCUAAGGGCCUCCGGCAGGGUGACCCAGUAUCUCUUGUGCUCUUCACGCCGAUGAUCGAUGCCCUGAACUCCCUUCUGUAG